CCUACGGGGGGCAGCAGUGGGGGAUAUUGGACAAUGGGGGGGAACCCUGAUCCAGCGACGCCGCGUGAGUGAAGAAGUAUUUCGGUAUGUAAAGCUCUGUCAGCAGGGAAGAUAAUGACGGUACCUGACUAAGAAGCCCCGGCUAACUACGUGCCAGCAGCCGCGGUAAUACGUAGGGGGCAAGUGUUAUCCGGAUUUACUGGGUGUAAAGGGUGCGUAGGUGGCAGGGCAAGUCAGAUGUGAAAGCCCGGGGCUCAACCCCGGUACUGCAUUUGAAACUGUCCAGCUGGAGUGCAGGAGAGGUAAGCGGAAUUCCUAGUGUAGCGGUGAAAUGCGUAGAUAUUAGGAGGAACACCAGUGGCGAAGGCGGCUUACUGGACUGUAACUGACACUGAGGCACGAAAGCGUGGGGAGCAAACAGGAUUAGAUACCCGGGUAGUC
RNAcentral lists this ribosomal RNA (441 nucleotides) under uncultured bacterium. RNAcentral's name for it is "partial 16S ribosomal RNA". It matches the Rfam family "Bacterial small subunit ribosomal RNA", at positions 338 to 795 of the family's 1533-position model. The record is from RNAcentral.